Molecule: ribosomal RNA, 2922 nt
Filed under: Klebsiella pneumoniae
Lineage: Bacteria; Pseudomonadati; Pseudomonadota; Gammaproteobacteria; Enterobacterales; Enterobacteriaceae
Description: 23S ribosomal RNA
Rfam family: Bacterial large subunit ribosomal RNA
Source: RNAcentral
GGGUUGUGAGGUUAAGCGACUAAGCGUACACGGUGGAUGCCCUGGCAGUCAGAGGCGAUGAAGGACGUGCUAAUCUGCGAAAAGCGUCGGUAAGGUGAUAUGAACCGUUAUAACCGGCGAUGUCCGAAUGGGGAAACCCAGUGUGAUUCGUCACACUAUCGUUAACUGAAUACAUAGGUUAACGAGGCGAACCGGGGGAACUGAAACAUCUAAGUACCCCGAGGAAAAGAAAUCAACCGAGAUUCCCCCAGUAGCGGCGAGCGAACGGGGAGCAGCCCAGAGUCUGAAUCAGCUUGUGUGUUAGUGGAACGGUCUGGAAAGUCCGACGGUACAGGGUGAUAGUCCCGUACACCAAAAUGCACAGGUUGUGAACUCGAAGAGUAGGGCGGGACACGUGGUAUCCUGUCUGAAUAUGGGGGACCAUCCUCCAAGGCUAAAUACUCCUGACUGACCGAUAGUGAACCAGUACCGUGAGGGAAAGGCGAAAAGAACCCCGGCGAGGGGAGUGAAAAAGAACCUGAAACCGUGUACGUACAAGCAGUGGGAGCACCUUCGGGUGUGACUGCGUACCUUUUGUAUAAUGGGUCAGCGACUUAUAUUCUGUAGCAAGGUUAACCGUAUAGGGGAGCCGCAGGGAAACCGAGUCUUAACUGGGCGUUAAGUUGCAGGGUAUAGACCCGAAACCCGGUGAUCUAGCCAUGGGCAGGUUGAAGGUUGGGUAACACUAACUGGAGGACCGAACCGACUAAUGUUGAAAAAUUAGCGGAUGACUUGUGGCUGGGGGUGAAAGGCCAAUCAAACCGGGAGAUAGCUGGUUCUCCCCGAAAGCUAUUUAGGUAGCGCCUCGUGAAUUCAUCUUCGGGGGUAGAGCACUGUUUCGGCUAGGGGGUCAUCCCGACUUACCAACCCGAUGCAAACUACGAAUACCGAAGAAUGUUAUCACGGGAGACACACGGCGGGUGCUAACGUCCGUCGUGAAGAGGGAAACAACCCAGACCGCCAGCUAAGGUCCCAAAGUCAUGGUUAAGUGGGAAACGAUGUGGGAAGGCACAGACAGCCAGGAUGUUGGCUUAGAAGCAGCCAUCAUUUAAAGAAAGCGUAAUAGCUCACUGGUCGAGUCGGCCUGCGCGGAAGAUGUAACGGGGCUAAACCAUGCACCGAAGCUGCGGCAGCGACACUAUGUGUUGUUGGGUAGGGGAGCGUUCUGUAAGCCUGCGAAGGUGUGCUGUGAGGCAUGCUGGAGGUAUCAGAAGUGCGAAUGCUGACAUAAGUAACGAUAAAGCGGGUGAAAAGCCCGCUCGCCGGAAGACCAAGGGUUCCUGUCCAACGUUAAUCGGGGCAGGGUGAGUCGACCCCUAAGGCGAGGCCGAAAGGCGUAGUCGAUGGGAAACAGGUUAAUAUUCCUGUACUUGGUGUUACUGCGAAGGGGGGACGGAGAAGGCUAUGUUAGCCGGGCGACGGUUGUCCCGGUUUAAGCAUGUAGGCUGGUUGUCCAGGCAAAUCCGGAUAAUCAAGGCUGAGGUGUGAUGACGAGGCACUACGGUGCUGAAGUAACAAAUGCCCUGCUUCCAGGAAAAGCCUCUAAGCAUCAGGUAACAUCAAAUCGUACCCCAAACCGACACAGGUGGUCAGGUAGAGAAUACCAAGGCGCUUGAGAGAACUCGGGUGAAGGAACUAGGCAAAAUGGUGCCGUAACUUCGGGAGAAGGCACGCUGGUGUGUAGGUGAAGUCCCUGCGGAUGGAGCUGAGACCAGUCGAAGAUACCAGCUGGCUGCAACUGUUUAUUAAAAACACAGCACUGUGCAAACACGAAAGUGGACGUAUACGGUGUGACGCCUGCCCGGUGCCGGAAGGUUAAUUGAUGGGGUUAUCCGUAAGGAGAAGCUCUUGAUCGAAGCCCCGGUAAACGGCGGCCGUAACUAUAACGGUCCUAAGGUAGCGAAAUUCCUUGUCGGGUAAGUUCCGACCUGCACGAAUGGCGUAAUGAUGGCCAGGCUGUCUCCACCCGAGACUCAGUGAAAUUGAACUCGCUGUGAAGAUGCAGUGUACCCGCGGCAAGACGGAAAGACCCCGUGAACCUUUACUAUAGCUUGACACUGAACAUUGAGCCUUGAUGUGUAGGAUAGGUGGGAGGCUUUGAAGCGUGGACGCCAGUCUGCGUGGAGCCAACCUUGAAAUACCACCCUUUAAUGUUUGAUGUUCUAACGUUGGCCCCUUACCGGGGUUGCGGACAGUGUCUGGUGGGUAGUUUGACUGGGGCGGUCUCCUCCCAAAGCGUAACGGAGGAGCACGAAGGUUAGCUAAUCCUGGUCGGACAUCAGGAGGUUAGUGCAAUGGCAUAAGCUAGCUUGACUGCGAGCGUGACGGCGCGAGCAGGUGCGAAAGCAGGUCAUAGUGAUCCGGUGGUUCUGAAUGGAAGGGCCAUCGCUCAACGGAUAAAAGGUACUCCGGGGAUAACAGGCUGAUACCGCCCAAGAGUUCAUAUCGACGGCGGUGUUUGGCACCUCGAUGUCGGCUCAUCACAUCCUGGGGCUGAAGUAGGUCCCAAGGGUAUGGCUGUUCGCCAUUUAAAGUGGUACGCGAGCUGGGUUUAGAACGUCGUGAGACAGUUCGGUCCCUAUCUGCCGUGGGCGCUGGAGAAUUGAGGGGGGCUGCUCCUAGUACGAGAGGACCGGAGUGGACGCAUCACUGGUGUUCGGGUUGUCAUGCCAAUGGCACUGCCCGGUAGCUAAAUGCGGAAGAGAUAAGUGCUGAAAGCAUCUAAGCACGAAACUUGCCCCGAGAUGAGUUCUCCCUGAGACUUUAAGUCUCCUGAAGGAACGUUAAAGACGAUGACGUUGAUAGGCCGGGUGUGUAAGCGCAGCGAUGCGUUGAGCUAACCGGUACUAAUGAACCGUGAGGCUUAACCUUACAACGCCGAAG